GGGUGGAGCCGCCGCGAGCCCACGGCAGUCAUUUCUUGGUAUUUAAAAAAAAGUAGCAAAAGAAAAGAAAGAAUCAAAGCCUCAAGCGUCACGUCUAGGAAUAGCGUCGGAGCCAGGCCAAGUCAUUAUAGACGAUGAGUAAUCCGGUUAAGUCAUUUCUCUAAACGCCAUUCCUUCUGCAGGAGCAAAGAGCUGAUGCUGGGAAAGAUUGAAGGCAGGAGAAGAGGGUGACAGAGGAUGAGAUGGUUGGAUGGCAUCACCGAUUCAAUGGACAUGAGCUUGGGCAAACUCCAGGAGAUGGUCCAACAACAUGAGCUGGGUCCUGGUAGUGAGCCGGACACUCAUCUCUCCCUCGGUGACCCUCACGUGGACCCUUGGCAGAUAAGGGCACUGGGGCCCGGAACCUUCCCACUGGCUUCCCACGCCAGUCCCCAAAGCGGUAGAGAGUAACUCAAGCUUACAGAUGAACGCUUGAGGCAGCCUCUGAGCAACUUACACACGUUCACACUUGCAAUGAAUCAGGCACUUUUGAAAUUCCCUUUUGACCAAAGGGCAGAGAGAAACCGAGAGGUUCUCAACUUCCUAAGAAGCUGCACUGGCUCAGCCAGUCCACUAAAACAGGAAGCUCCAAGGCUCUGGAGUCAGGCCGACUGCUCCCC
This is a long non-coding RNA of Bos taurus (domestic cattle), 659 nucleotides long. Lineage: Eukaryota; Metazoa; Chordata; Mammalia; Artiodactyla; Bovidae. The record is from Ensembl.